UGCUUUUCACGGAGGUCGGCUGGUCAUAAAGUUCUGCUGGUUGACGUGUAACUCCUCUGUAUGGAUCCAGUUUCGUUGGCCUUUAACACUCUGAGCUGCUCAGAUCCUGAACUCAUGAUGCAGAUCAGUUUCAUGCGACUCAUAUUUCUUUGCUCGUAUGCAUCAACCUUUAACCAGUUUCAGGUGAAAUGCAGUAAAUGAUUGGGGGCAAAAAUGGUGUCUCAUCUUUUUAUUUUCUACAAUAUCUUUUUUUUUUAUCAGAACAGAAGCAUGUUUAUAGACACAUUACAAUUAACACACAUUACAAGUGACCAUAAAGCCAUCCUUGAAAAUGUAUCAAAAUAAUAAUACACUAUCUAACUUAUUAGAUGGCGAGUAGAUAAAAUAUACACGUUUUUUGAUUUGAUUUUUAAAGAUAUUUCUUGUCAAAUGUGUGAAACCUCAGAUCUUGUGGGGGAACAUUGAGUCCAGUCAUGCCUUUGAAGUCGAUUUCAAAGGCAUGAAGUUAUUUUAAUUUUACUUAUAGAGCACAUCUCAUGCCAUAAACAUAAACUCACUAUGUUUAAAAGGAAAUGUAAAUAUUAAGGCAAGCAAUGACGAUAACAUAUCAAGCACAUCUUUGAAAUAUGUAUGCCCGGUUUGAUGCUGAAAGCUGCAGAUUGUCUGUAUUUUUGUCCCUCUUGCGACGUCAUCGACUCACUGAAAUAAAGCAGAAUGAGCUGGUCUGUCUUCAGUACAGUUUUCAAGAGGUUUUGUAUUUUGUAAAAUCGUGCAGGAAAAAUCCAUGCUUCAUUAUCCUGCUAUGCACUGUCCACUUGUCAAUGAGGGAAUUUAAAACUAUGCGGUAACAGAUUCAAGAGCAAAGCAGAUGAUUUGGAGUAGUUCUAAAAUAAUUUUCAUCUUGGAAACUUCAACUUUCGUCUCCUUUGACGUCACGCUUACCAGUUGAACAAAUCAGAUUCUUUGUGUUCUGAAUUUUUGACCCACUGAUUUUUAACAGAGCGUGUUACAGACAUCCUGGGUAAUCUGAUUCCUCUCUGUAAGCAUCAUUACUGCUCUCAUCUGCUGAAACAUUUGAGGAGGAAACGCAUAGAGCCCUCUGAACCCCGCCCUCUCAUUCAGCAUGCCGUGAGUCACUUCCUUCCUGGGUUUCUCAAAUCAGAAACAUAUCCCUACGGCGCAUAAAACUCAACAAUGGCAUCUGGGUCAGGACGUCCCGCGUGACGGGAUUAUCAUGGAGGGGACUUUGCCUCAGUGUGUGGAUGGGAUCUUCUCAUAUUGCCACCUGCAGGUCAGCAGCGAUUUUGCAGUGGGAAGUCGUAACGCCAGAGAGGUGUUUAAAGGUGGAUGGAGCUGUAAGACUCACCUUUUGUCCUUUCUGGCUGCCACGGCUGCACCUCCGUACCUGAGCAUUGUGCGUUAGUGUGUGACAUGAGCCAGCACAUUACAGUUGCUGUCUGAGGUCUACAAGGCAGUAAAAUGUCGGGUGCAGGCAGCCGUGUUGGGUCUGAAGGAGGAGUUUUACCAUCUGAGCGUGGAGAAACGUAUCUCUGCUGGACUCCAUCAGGUGGGCCUGCUGCAGGACCACUUGGCUCACAUGAUCACAGAGGACACGUGUGGGCAACUGUUACAGUGCCUUCAGCACCACUUGGUCGCACUCUGCAAGAAGUUGCCCCACCCAUCUGUGAUGGAUUUGCGUCUGUCUGGGAGCUCUUUCUGGAGACAUCAUACCUGUGGCAUCCGCAAACACACCAGAGAGAGACGUUAAAAAGGAGGUUGCCAGCAUGGCUGCUAAGAUGUUUUGGCGGCUCCGUGUUUUUCUUCUGACUCUGCACAGCUCACAGCAGAGUCAGAGACAAGG
This is a long non-coding RNA of Xiphophorus maculatus (southern platyfish), 1861 nucleotides long. RefSeq lists it as uncharacterized. The record is from RefSeq and is a predicted model, not a curated record. NCBI's taxonomy places the organism in Eukaryota, Metazoa, Chordata, Actinopteri, Cyprinodontiformes, Poeciliidae. The transcript has 5 exons.